CUGGGGACUUCAUACUUUCUACUAAUUCUUGUUUCACUGGUACUGGCUCCUCUAGUGACUUCACACUUCCUGCUGAUUCUUCUUUCAGUGGUUCUGCAGGGGACUUCAUACUUACUGCCAUUUCUUGUUUCACUGGUUCUGCUGGUGCCUUCACACUUUCUGCUGACUCCCUUCCUUCUUCACCCUGUAAAGGAUACCAUUUUAACCAUGAAGAAAACCCAGAUGGCUCAAAGAGCAGUACACAUGCAUUUGUUUAAUAAGCUAACAACUAUAGAACUAAUCAAAUCAUUAGGCAGAACAAAUACUUCUUGCUGACAAACAAUUCAUUUACUUUUUUUUCUUGGACAAAAUUUUACUGCAUCUGAAGGACCUCCCACCAAUCAAUCUUGAUUUAUCAUUGCUCUUGCUUGGCAAUAAAAUAAAACUUCAAACCCCUUGAUUUCAUGGACUCAACUUUAAACCUUUUACUACAUAAUUCAAUAUCAUAAUUUAAGUGGUGUAUAUAUAUAUAUAUAUAUACACCACUUAAAUUAUGAUAUUGAAUUAUGUAGUAAAAGGUUUAAAGUUGAGUCCAUGAAAUCAAGGGGUUUGAAGUUUUAUUUUAUUGCCAAGCAAGAGCAAUGAUAAAUCAAGAUUGAUUGGUGGGAGGUCCUUCAGAUGCAGUAAAAUUUUGUCCAAGAAAAAAAAGUAAAUGAAUUGUUUGUCAGCAAGAAGUAUUUGUUCUGCCUAAUGAUUUGAUUAGUUCUAUAGUUGUUAGCUUAUUAAACAAAUGCAUGUGUACUGCUCUUUGAGCCAUCUGGGUUUUCUUCAUGGUUAAAAUGGUAUCCUUUACAGGGUGAAGAAGGAAGGGAGUCAGCAGAAAGUGUGAAGGCACCAGCAGAACCAGUGAAACAAGAAAUGGCAGUAAGUAUGAAGUCCCCUGCAGAACCACUGAAAGAAGAAUCAGCAGGAAGUGUGAAGUCACUAGAGGAGCCAGUACCAGUGAAACAAGAAUUAGUAGAAAGUAUGAAGUCCCCAG
RNAcentral lists this unclassified non-coding RNA (1018 nucleotides) under Hevea brasiliensis (rubber tree). The record is from RNAcentral. Lineage: Eukaryota; Viridiplantae; Streptophyta; Magnoliopsida; Malpighiales; Euphorbiaceae.